RNAcentral lists this unclassified non-coding RNA (169 nucleotides) under soil metagenome. Its description in RNAcentral is "partial internal transcribed spacer 1". The record is from RNAcentral.
CAGAGUUGCAAAACUCCCAACCAUUGUGGACCUACCUCACCGUUGCUUCGGCGGGUGGCCCGCUAACGCGGCGCCGCGCCGGCGUCCCCUUCGGGGGGCCCGGCAACCCGUCAGAAGACCGAAACUCUUAGUCAUCUUGGCCUCUCUGAGUAACUUAUACAAUAAGUCA